CAGAAGAAGUCAUCUCUUGGCUCGGGUUUAAAGGGUGCCAAUGAGGCACAAAGCCAGGAGAGGAGACUCAAGAAGAAUUAUAGGAGGGAAUCACUGGCUUCUUCUUCUUCAGAACUCUCGAUGGAUUCCCACUCUUACGGAAGCUUCACCACAUAUGAGAAGGUCGCCUGCAAGCACGUAAGUAUCUAAUUGACCUUUACCAGUAUGACAUCUAUAUGUAAACAUGAAAGAGUUAAUCUCACAUUUUCGGUGCUUGUCUUUGAUUGAAGCGAAAUGGAGAUGAGGAGGUGCUUAUCACUCCAAUAAGGCGUUCGAGCAGAUUGCUGAAGCAAGUCACUUCUCCAUGACUAGAGGAGAAAGCAUUUCUCCCCCUGACUCUCGGUUGCUCCUGAUUC
Molecule: long non-coding RNA, 395 nt
Filed under: Eucalyptus grandis
Lineage: Eukaryota; Viridiplantae; Streptophyta; Magnoliopsida; Myrtales; Myrtaceae
Description: long non-coding RNA (EGRA_LNC000662)
Source: RNAcentral